AGUGAACGCUGGCGGUAGGCCUAACACAUGCAAGUCGAACGGCAGCACAGUAAGAGCUUGCUCUUACGGGUGGCGAGUGGCGGACGGGUGAGGAAUACAUCGGAAUCUACUUUUUCGUGGGGGAUAACGUAGGGAAACUUACGCUAAUACCGCAUACGACCUACGGGUGAAAGCAGGGGAUCUUCGGACCUUGCGCGAUUGAAUGAGCCGAUGUCGGAUUAGCUAGUUGGCGGGGUAAAGGCCCACCGAGGCGACGAUCCGCAGCUGGUCUGAGAGGAUGAUCAGCCACACUGGAACUGAGACACGGUCCAGACUCCUACGGGAGGCAGCAGUGGGGAAUAUUGGACAAUGGGCGCAAGCCUGAUCCAGCAAUACCGCGUGGGUGAAGAAGGCCUUCGGGUUGUAAAGCCCUUUUGUUGGGAAAGAAAAGCAGCAGGUUAAUACCCCGCUGUUCUGACGGUACCCAAAGAAUAAGCACCGGCUAACUUCGUG
This 492-nucleotide ribosomal RNA is filed under the name uncultured bacterium. RNAcentral describes it as "partial 16S ribosomal RNA". It matches the Rfam family "Bacterial small subunit ribosomal RNA", at positions 29 to 507 of the family's 1533-position model. The record is from RNAcentral.